This is a long non-coding RNA of Anguilla rostrata (American eel), 651 nucleotides long. RefSeq lists it as uncharacterized. The record is from RefSeq and is a predicted model, not a curated record. The transcript has 5 exons. Lineage: Eukaryota; Metazoa; Chordata; Actinopteri; Anguilliformes; Anguillidae.
AAGAAGAGUAAGCCCAGCCCCUCGUCCUUCCACCCACCCCCACCCUCCAUCCUCCAUCCCCUCUGCUGCAGUCUAGAGGUUGGGCUCACAGACAGGAGUCAGAGGAAGACUCUUCAUGCUCAGGCUCGGCGUCCCAGCCCUGAAGACCGUGCCGCACGGUCAGAGGUGCCGGAUAUUCGGACCAAACGCUGUCGUUCAGAGGAGCUGAGGUACAGAGGAAGAAAGACGCCCAGACGAUGAGCAGAGGAAGACCAUGCUGUGGGCCCGGCCGUGCUUGAUGAAGGUGAACUAUGACCCUGGAGCUGCUUGCACUGACGUUUAAAGCUUGGACCGUGUUUUGUCCCCCCGACAUGGAAAAUGUGUUCCAGAAGUAAUUAUCCGGAGAUACGGAGGUGGAACCUAGCGCCUGGCCUGCUGUUUCUCCACAGAGUGGAGUGUUGGAGUUGGCGGACGGUUGCCGAUGAUAAUGGCGGAAAUGGAUUGCAGGUAUGUGUGAGCACCGAGCUGCUCUGUUUGGCUGUUUCAGGCACAGAGGCAACACUGUUCUCAGCUCUGAGGCGGGGUGCUGUACACGGAAAGGGAAAUUCAUUUAUGUUUUUUAUUAUUUUUUUUUUUUGUCUGAGGGUUUUGUCUGAGAGUACAAACUAAAAA